UGGGGAAUUUUGGACAAUGGGCGAAAGCCUGAUCCAGCAAUGCCGCGUGUGUGAAGAAGGCCUUCGGGUUGUAAACACUUUUGUCCGGAAAGAAAUCCUUGGCUCUAAUACAGUCGGGGGAUGACGGUACCGGAAGAAUAAGCACCGGCUAACUACGUGCCAGCAGCCGCGGUAAUACGUAGGGUGCAAGCGUUAAUCGGAAUUACUGGGCGUAAAGCGUGCGCAGGCGGUUUGCUAAGACCGAUGUGAAAUCCCCGGGCUCAACCUGGGAACUGCAUUGGUGACUGGCAGGCUAGAGUAUGGCAGAGGGGGGUAGAAUUCCACGUGUAGCAGUGAAAUGCGUAGAGAUGUGGAGGAAUACCGAUGGCGAAGGCAGCCCCCUGGGCCAAUACUGACGCUCAUGCACGAAAGCGUGGGGAGCAAACAGGAUUAGAUACCCUGGUAGUCCACGCCCUAAACGAUGUCAACUAGUUGUUGGGGAUUCAUUUCCUAGUAACGUAGCUAACGCGUGAAGUUGGCCGCCUGGGGAGUACGGUCGCAAGAUUAAAAUCUUAAAGGAAUUGACGGGGUCAUAGC
Molecule: ribosomal RNA, 576 nt
Filed under: uncultured bacterium
Lineage: Bacteria
Description: partial 16S ribosomal RNA
Rfam family: Bacterial small subunit ribosomal RNA
Source: RNAcentral